Molecule: ribosomal RNA, 497 nt
Filed under: uncultured bacterium
Lineage: Bacteria
Description: partial 16S ribosomal RNA
Rfam family: Bacterial small subunit ribosomal RNA
Source: RNAcentral
GAUGAACGCUGGCGGCGUGCCUAAUACAUGCAAGUCGAGCGAACAGACGAGGAACUUGCUCCUCUGACGUUAGCGGCGGACGGGUGAGUAACACGUGGAUAACCUACCUAUAAGACUGGGAUAACUUCGGGAAACCGGAGCUAAUACCGGAUAAUAUAUUGAACCGCAUGGUUCAAUAGUGAAAGACGGUUUUGCUGUCACUUAUAGAUGGAUCCGCGCCGCAUUAGCUAGUUGGUAAGGUAACGGCUUACCAAGGCAACGAUGCGUAGCCGACCUGAGAGGGUGAUCGGCCACACUGGAACUGAGACACGGUCCAGACUCCUACGGGAGGCAGCAGUAGGGAAUCUUCCGCAAUGGGCGAAAGCCUGACGGAGCAACGCCGCGUGAGUGAUGAAGGUCUUCGGAUCGUAAAACUCUGUUAUUAGGGAAGAACACAUGUGUAAGUAACUAUGCACGUCUUGACGGUACCUAAUCAGAAAGCCACGGCUAACUACGUG